Molecule: ribosomal RNA, 748 nt
Filed under: uncultured bacterium
Lineage: Bacteria
Description: bacterial SSU rRNA
Rfam family: Bacterial small subunit ribosomal RNA
Source: RNAcentral
GAUGAACGCUGGCGGCGUGCUUAACACAUGCAAGUCGAACGAAGCACUUUAUUUGAUUUCCUUCGGGACUGAUUAUUUUGUGACUGAGUGGCGGACGGGUGAGUAACGCGUGGGUAACCUGCCUUGUACAGGGGGAUAACAGUUGGAAACGGCUGCUAAUACCGCAUAAGCGCACGGCAUCGCAUGAUGCAGUGUGAAAAACUCCGGUGGUAUAAGAUGGACCCGCGUUGGAUUAGCUAGUUGGUGAGGUAACGGCCCACCAAGGCGACGAUCCAUAGCCGACCUGAGAGGGUGACCGGCCACAUUGGGACUGAGACACGGCCCAAACUCCUACGGGAGGCAGCAGUGGGGAAUAUUGCACAAUGGGCGAAAGCCUGAUGCAGCGACGCCGCGUGAGCGAAGAAGUAUUUCGGUAUGUAAAGCUCUAUCAGCAGGGAAGAUAAUGACGGUACCUGACUAAGAAGCACCGGCUAAAUACGUGCCAGCAGCCGCGGUAAUACGUAUGGUGCAAGCGUUAUCCGGAUUUACUGGGUGUAAAGGGAGCGCAGGCGGUGCGGCAAGUCUGAUGUGAAAGCCCGGGGCUCAACCCCGGUACUGCAUUGGAAACUGUCGUACUAGAGUGUCGGAGGGGUAAGCGGAAUUCCUAGUGUAGCGGUGAAAUGCGUAGAUAUUAGGAGGAACACCAGUGGCGAAGGCGGCUUACUGGACGAUAACUGACGCUGAGGCUCGAAAGCGUGGGGAGCAAACA